RNAcentral lists this ribosomal RNA (253 nucleotides) under uncultured bacterium. RNAcentral's name for it is "partial 16S ribosomal RNA". It matches the Rfam family "Bacterial small subunit ribosomal RNA", at positions 524 to 776 of the family's 1533-position model. The record is from RNAcentral.
UACGUAGGGUGCAAGCGUUGUCCGGAAUUAUUGGGCGUAAAGCGCGCGCAGGCGGCUCUUCAAGUCAGGGGUGAAAGCCCAGAGCUCAACUCUGGAACUGCCUUUGAGACUGAAGAGCUUGAGUACGGGAGAGGUGAGUGGAAUUCCCAGUGUAGAGGUGAAAUUCGUAGAUAUUGGGAAGAACACCGGUGGCGAAGGCGGCUCACUGGCCCGUUACUGACGCUCAGGCGCGACAGCGUGGGGAUCAAACAGG